Molecule: ribosomal RNA, 713 nt
Filed under: bacterium F312MS
Lineage: Bacteria
Description: bacterial SSU rRNA
Rfam family: Bacterial small subunit ribosomal RNA
Source: RNAcentral
UGGAAUUCCACGUGUAGCGGUGAAAUGCGUAGAGAUGUGGAGGAACACCAGUGGCGAAGGCGACUCUCUGGUCUGUAACUGACGCUGAGGAGCGAAAGCGUGGGGAGCGAACAGGAUUAGAUACCCUGGUAGUCCACGCCGUAAACCAUGAGUGCUAAGUGUUAGGGGGUUUCCGCCCCUUAGUGCUGCAGCUAACGCAUUAAGCACUCCGCCUGGGGAGUACGGUCGCAAGACUGAAACUCAAAGGAAUUGACGGGGGCCCGCACAAGCGGUGGAGCAUGUGGUUUAAUUCGAAGCAACGCGAAGAACCUUNCCAGGUCUUGACAUCCUCUGACAAUCCUAGAGAUAGGACGUCCCCUUCGGGGGCAGAGUGACAGGUGGUGCAUGGUUGUCGUCAGCUCGUGUCGUGAGAUGUUGGGUUAAGUCCCGCAACGAGCGCAACCCUUGAUCUUAGUUGCCAGCAUUCAGUUGGGCACUCUAAGGUGACUGCCGGUGACAAACCGGAGGAAGGUGGGGAUGACGUCAAAUCAUCAUGCCCCUUAUGACCUGGGCUACACACGUGCUACAAUGGACAGAACAAAGGGCAGCGAAACCGCGAGGUUAAGCCAAUCCCACAAAUCUGUUCUCAGUUCGGAUCGCACUCUGCAACUCGACUGCGUGAAGCUGGAAUCGCUAGUAAUCGCGGAUCAGCAUGCCGCGGUGAAUACGUUCCC